RNAcentral lists this long non-coding RNA (1210 nucleotides) under Numida meleagris (helmeted guineafowl). Its description in RNAcentral is "lncRNA (ENSNMEG00000022320.1)". The record is from RNAcentral. Lineage: Eukaryota; Metazoa; Chordata; Aves; Galliformes; Numididae.
AUGUGCAGAGCGGUGCCGUCGUCUCCAGCCCUCGGCAUCAAGGCUCAGCUGAGAGAGUUCAUGGGAAGUCCAAUUGCUGUGAUAAGCCUGACAUGGUUAACAAGACAUCUAAUACAAUCGUGGAGGAUAGUAGAGAACAUGGCAACAAAACCAAGAAAUGGAGAAAGAAGUGGCGCCAGGAGGCAGUGUGUAAACAAACGAGAGAGCUAGCAGCAUGACUGUGUGAGCCAUUGGCGGAGAACGGGAGUUACGGUUCAGCAAAUCUGAAUUCCUCCUGCUGUACAGUCUGGAUUUUACUGAGCCGUAUUCUUUCCACUGUCUCCUGUAAGUUGAGCAUCUUUAAAGCAGACUUUGAAAGCAAACUGGCUUGCACCAGCUCCUGCCCACUGGGGCAGUGGAGCAAAGGAAAGCACAGCUCCUUCUGGUAGCUCCCUGCCCUUGGGGAGAUGUAGGUCACAUCAGGGCAACGGAGCUGCGCGGAGGCCAGUGCCGCUCAGGGUCAGCACCGAGCUCCUGCACUGUUGCCCCAGGCUCCUGGCCAUGCCCAAGGGGAGAAGGGCAUUUGGUGGGGGGAGUAGAGCAGAAGGGGAAAGGAGGUUUGCUGGAACCACACUGUGCUUUAGAAGGUGCUCUCACAGCUGAGAAGCUCAGUGCAAAACCAAGAGCCUUAUCUGCGUGCAGAAGCAUCCUCCUUGCCCCCUGAAACAUCAUUGUCCUUACAAGAGCUCAGUGUGGCAGACACUGAAAUUCAAGCUGCUUUUUGGGAAGAAGUGAUUCCUUUCUAAAUGGCAACUGAAAAAAAAGAAGAAGAAGAAGAAGAAGAAGAAGAAAACCCCCAUUUUAAGCAUUAAGAAGAAAACAUUUAUUUUAAUGGUAAUUUUUCUCUUUACUCUAUACCAUCUAAAAAUGCUAAGCAAUGUUGCCGCUCCCUCCUAAAGGUGUGAUGAAGCCUAGUAGCACAGAACAGGUAGGGGACUUUUCAACUACAGACCUGGCUGUUUUGCAGUUUCAUAGCUGUCUAAAGGAGAGUGCCUUUAUGAGAAGAAAUAUCACACAGCUACAGGAGUGGCUGCCUUGUUUGUUCCAACGCCUAACGCUUAUUUGAAGGAUUAACUCAGUCAUUCCUUAUUCCCAUUUUCACUUCUAAUGCGUUUCUGUUUGUGUAUCUUCCAACAGAACAUACUGUGCUUCUGUUUAACUGUCUAUUUAU